This 39-nucleotide transfer RNA is filed under the name Calamus metzianus. RNAcentral's name for it is "partial tRNA-His". Lineage: Eukaryota; Viridiplantae; Streptophyta; Magnoliopsida; Arecales; Arecaceae. The record is from RNAcentral.
AUGAAUGGAAAAAAGAGAAAACCUUUAGCUAGAUAAGGG